UUAAAAGCGAUGACGGAAAGAGUAAUUGUGCAGAUUCAAAAAGAGAGCUAAUGGUUGGUGCAAAUUAGCGAUGAAGCAUGGUGAAGUUCAUUCCUAAGUUUCAGGUUGAAAUUAAGUAGACCAUGGCGUAAGACCUACGUUACAGGUAAAAGUGGAUUAUUUAUGUAAUCAAUCAGGGUGGUACCGCGAGAAAGAACUCGUCCCUUUU
This 208-nucleotide non-coding RNA is filed under the name Clostridium carboxidivorans. RNAcentral describes it as "T-box sequence". It matches the Rfam family "T-box leader". Rfam says of the family: Uncharged tRNA acts as the effector for transcription antitermination of genes in the T-box leader family. T-boxes are found upstream of many aminoacyl-tRNA synthetase genes and some amino acid biosynthetic genes usually in Gram-positive bacteria. Lineage: Bacteria; Bacillati; Bacillota; Clostridia; Eubacteriales; Clostridiaceae. The record is from RNAcentral.